This 253-nucleotide ribosomal RNA is filed under the name uncultured bacterium. Its description in RNAcentral is "partial 16S ribosomal RNA". It matches the Rfam family "Bacterial small subunit ribosomal RNA", at positions 524 to 776 of the family's 1533-position model. The record is from RNAcentral.
UACGUAGGGGGCGAGCGUUGUCCGGAGUUACUGGGCGUAAAGGGCACGCAGGCGGUGCGGCGCGUUUCGCGUGACAGCGGAGGGCUUAACUCUCCGAGGAUGCGAAAGACGGCGGCACUUGAGGGCCAGAGAGGGACACGGAAUUCCGGGUGGAGUGGUGAAAUGCGUAGAGAUCCGGAGGAACACCGAAGGCGAAGGCAGUGUCCUGGCUGGUGACUGACGCUGAGACGCGAAAGCGUGGGGAGCAAACAGG